GACGAACGCUGGCGGCGUGCCUAAUACAUGCAAGUAGAACGCUGAAGGAGGAGCUUGCUUCUCCGGAUGAGUUGCGAACGGGUGAGUAACGCGUAGGUAACCUGCCUGGUAGCGGGGGAUAACUAUUGGAAACGAUAGCUAAUACCGCAUAAGAGUAGAUGUCGCAUGACAUUUGCUUAAAAGGUGCAACUGCACCACUACCAGAUGGACCUGCGUUGUAUUAGCUAGUUGGUGAGGUAACGGCUCACCAAGGCAACGAUACAUAGCCGACCUGAGAGGGUGAUCGGCCACACUGGGACUGAGACACGGCCCAGACUCCUACGGGAGGCAGCAGUAGGGAAUCUUCGGCAAUGGACGGAAGUCUGACCGAGCAACGCCGCGUGAGUGAAGAAGGUUUUCGGAUCGUAAAGCUCUGUUGUAGGAGAAGAACGAGUGUGAGAGUGGAAAGUUCACACUGUGACGGUAUCUUACCAGAAAGGGACGGCUAACUACGUG
This 495-nucleotide ribosomal RNA is filed under the name uncultured bacterium. RNAcentral describes it as "partial 16S ribosomal RNA". It matches the Rfam family "Bacterial small subunit ribosomal RNA", at positions 28 to 507 of the family's 1533-position model. The record is from RNAcentral.